Molecule: long non-coding RNA, 2335 nt
Organism: Chrysemys picta bellii (western painted turtle)
Lineage: Eukaryota; Metazoa; Chordata; Testudines; Emydidae
Source: RefSeq, a predicted model, not a curated record
CACAGGAUCAGCUGACCCCGCCCAGCCAAUGGGGAGGUGAUGGAACAGCGCGCGCCAGCGGGAGCAGCGCGAGGCGGCGGCGGCAGGUCCCGGGCAGGGAGGCAAGGAGGAGGACGGCGCGUGCGCGCGCGCUCUCGAGAUUAAAUUACUGCAAUGCUCUCUACAUGAACUACCUGGAAACUGCAGUUUGUUCAGAAGGCAGGAGCCAUUUUACGAAGCAGGAUCUCUCCAGAAGCACAUUACACCAGUGCUCUGAUCUGCAUUGGUUUCUAGAUCUGUUCAGCUUCUGCUGCUUAUUCCCUUCACUUCUUGUCAGAAACCUCCAUUUGCAAUAUCAGAAUUCGGUUGCUGUGGAAGUGGUUUUGAUGUCGCAGACAAAGGAAUCUGACUCCAGCAAAAGGAGCUGAACUUUUGAGGAAAAAUGAUCCCAUAUCCAUGAAGAUGUUUUAAGUGUGUGAAUUUAAAAUAGUAAGCCAUACAAAAUAUAUGGCUCACUGGCAAGACGUUCUCCAGCGAGGCAGAAGAGACCAUUAUAUCAAUAAAUCCUCAUUAUCUGAAUCACUAAACAUAUCAAAAUAGUAAAAGAAGAAAAUAUUAGAAGAACCACUCAUCUCUUAAAACAGUCUUAUGAAAACCAACUCUGCCUUGCCAGAGCACGUUUUAUAAAAGGGGAUUUUUAAAUGUGUUUGCCUUUAACAGGGGUUUUCUUUGUUGAUUUUUUUCUGCCCACAGGGGAGUGGCAAUUUCCAGACUUGACAGGCUCGCCUCAUUUUUAAAUCCCCGUAACAUAUGAUCUCAAGUUUUAGAGACAGUUGAGAUUAGAUUCUUACUUCCAUUCCCUCACUGGUUUCUUCCAACAUGUAUGCAAGAGUUGUUUUGAAUAUCAGAUGAUCAAAAACUUCCUUGGGGGUAUUUUUUCUAUAAGAAGGGUUAGGGUUGGUUCUCCACAUCACUGAUCUCUUAGUAUUUAACAGACUCCCCACUUCUAUGUAAUUACAGAAGUUUAGGUACAUUACAAAGCAUUUGAGACAGGCUUAUGGCAGGAGGUGGAGGGUAAGCAAGGUGGAUAGGACUGGACCAGGAUUGUUGGAUGCUGUGUAUCCUUGGCUUGUCUAGUAAGUGACCCAUACUUAUGCCUAGUCUGAAGGACCAUUUAGAUAUACAAUAAAUCUCAGGAACCUCCAGGGACAGAAACUAAUGUUACGCUCCAAUGAAUUUCAGUUUUGUUAUGACAUAUAGCAGGAUUUUGUAACUCCGGUAACUCAUGAAACACUGGACCAAAAAAAAAAAAUACAUAUUCUGAUUUCCCUUAUGCCUUAUCUUCCCCACCCUUCACAAGAAACCCCAAACCCAACAACUUCAAAUUCAACUGACUUUAAUAUCUGCUACAUCAAGAACUGCAAGAGCUAGAAACAAUGCAGUAUUGAAGCCACUAAUCUCAAUUUGCAAAAACCAUUAAUCCCUGACUCUUAAGAGUUUAGCAGCAAAGUCUUCUAAAAUCAUGCUGGAACUGAAGUAGGAACAUGGAGCAAAACAGUAAUCAGAAUGACCUGAUUUUAAAAUAUGAGUAUUACCUACUAUCCUAGGAGCAUUGCCUACACAUAGAUCAGAGUCCCAUGCUGUUAGUAACAUCAUGGGAAGUUCCUACUUCCAGGUUCAAGAGGAUAUACAAACAGUCCAAUUAAGUUAACUGGACUUAAUUUUUAAGAUAAUAAAUCUUUGCUUCUAUAGUCAUUACUGUUUCUCUUGGAGAUGAAAAUAGGAACUAAUUAUUUUUCUAGGUGCAUGGGACUCUAAUGACUGAGCAAAGUUUGACAGAAGAGGUAGUCUCAGCUGAGGGACAGAUAUUUAACUUUUCUUUAAAGGUUUAUGAAACAAUUAGACUUUGUCUACAAGAAAAAUGUUGGGUUUCUUGUUUUGUUUAAAAUUGCCAGUACUGCAGUUUUUGGUCAAGGUUCUGAAUGUUGAGCGGGGGUCUUUCCAUCUUACGCAUCUUCACCAGUAAAAGAGGAGCUACAGUUCAAAUUAAGCCCUCAGUGAGUUUGCACGUGUCUUAGCCAAGUUUAAGGCCCAGAAUUCCAUAUUUGCCAGGGUAGAAAAAAAACACUGCAGCACAAAUGAUUUCAUGACCAAUGAUCAGAAAUAAUAAAAAUUCAGUCCUAGGAACAACCACCAGCACCACUGACCUGAACCCAGCACUCACACUCAUUAUAUAUAUAUAUGGACCUGACCUUUGUGAAUGUCAGGGUGGGGAGAAAGCAUAUAUCAUCCCUGGAGGAUGAUAUAGGUGACAAAUCUGAGGAACUGUCCCAGACUGAGGUGUCAUUAGAAGAGG